GUAAAGAAAGUAGAAUAAUCAGUCACAGUUACAAGGCGCUGACGUAUGAAAAACAUGGUAGUUUGCGGAUAAAUCCGAUUGAAUACGUGGAGAUACACAUAGGCUGUAAUGAUUGGAGAAACUAGGAACGACAGGGCAAGAAAGCACAGUGUUUAGAACUAUUUGAAGAAAACUGAACAGGUUGAACCGAACAGCACUUUACCCCUAAGUCAAGAAGUCGUUAAGGGGAAGCACCAACAUACGAGAUAGUCCAGUACUUUAUU
This 263-nucleotide non-coding RNA is filed under the name human gut metagenome. Its description in RNAcentral is "RAGATH-8 RNA". It matches the Rfam family "RAGATH-8 RNA". The record is from RNAcentral.